AGAGUCCUCGCUGCCUAAAAUUCAACUUUAAAAGAAAAGGAGCUCUUAAAGGGAAACGACUUUGGACUCACGUAGGCACAGGAGAACGAAACUUCUUUACAUUUUAAUCUGAAUAAUUCUUCAGGAUUUAAAAUUAAUUGGCUCUGGCUUGGUUGGACCGUACUCGGAUCUCGCCACCUCUGCGUUUCCCGAGUCACUGGCGAAGAGGUCCCAGUUCCUCUGGGAAUCGUCCUGCAUGCAACAUCUUCACAAGAGUGGCAGGCAGUUGAAUCUCUGGCCUUCGUGGGACCACUGGACAUCUGGCAGAGAACCAGGAAACCACGGUUCCCUUCUGUGAGUCCCUCAGCCGGAAAACUACAAGAUAACUCUGUGGAGCUGCCAGGCCUUUUGCACCUUAAUGUGAAGACAUUUCGUGGGUCCUCCCCGGACCCGCCCCCAGCAAAGCUCCUCAUGCAGCUGCUGUCUGCAGACCCCCUGGACUGCCUGGGGAAGUGAGCCGGAGCUCCUGCAGCAGAGGGGUGGAACAGCUACACGAAGAUCCGAAGGUGGCCAAAAAUAACAGCGCUUUCCAGAUGAGGGAGCCAGUUGUCCAGCACAGUGUCAUGGGACAGUGGGCCCUGGUGCCACAAUGCCCGGCAUCUCCACCAGAUACAGCUUUGAGAUCUUCAUGAUGAAGCUUGCUCCAAUCCAAGGGCUGUCAGGUGGGGUUUGCGGUUCAGCUGCUAACCUUUCUUUGACAUCUGGUUCCCAUUACGUACAGUGUUGGGUACUUGAGUUCACCAGCCAUUUUGCAUACCAAGCAGUGUGCAGGCAAAAUCCCCACUGACAUCCACCCGUAUGCAUUUGCACCAGGAUUUGGCCAGUAGCAAGCAUUAAAGAGCUGCAGGAUCUUGUAUUUUAUUUCUUUUGGGAUAUUUUAACUGGAUUUUCUUUGGAAUGAAGUUUUAUCCUUGCCACACAAAAGAUCUUGUGGAAGAAAUUUCUCUGUUCGAUAGAACGAGAGCUCAUGGAUAUUAUCCUGAAGGACUGAAGAUGGAUGCCCUUCUCUAAUGAGCUUUAGCAAGCAGAGAGGCAGUCUUUUCCUGCACCUGGUUAUUUUACUUUGUCCUUCAGAAUCUCUCCCGGAUAAACCGAUGAGUGUAACGCCAUUAUCAUGGACUUUUUCCCCAGCUGCAGACUUGAAAGAGUUAAUGUGCUGCAAAUGCCUCCGUGCCUGGGGAGUUCUGCACCACCUCUGCCCAGGCUGCAGAGGCAUUAGGCUCCAAACAGGAGAAUCUUCUGAGAGGUUCCCAUGGAAGAGAACCCUCACGCUGCAAGUAUCCAGGAUACACAUUCUGAUUCAUGGUUAUCUACAACUCCGGGUGGAAGUCAAAGAUUGGAAGAGGAUGACCUCUGAUCCUGGAACUGCAUUGCUUGGUGGUCAGGAGGGGUUCUUAGUAAGCAAACUCAGUUUAAUUCCAGAGUCGGAAGUGGGUGUCAACAAGCCAAAGCAACAUCCUUUCAGCUCUGCUGCUUUUUUGUCUUGGUGGAGGAAUAGCCAAUGGAAGAAGAUGGAGAGUCCGGACCAAAAAAAAAAAGAUGAGACAGGGUCUCACUCUGACUCCUAGGCUGGAGUGCAUCAUGGGGCUCUGCAGCCUCAACCUCCCAGGACCAAGCGGUUCUCCCACCACAGCCCCUGGAGUAGCUGGGACCACAGAUAUUCAUCACCCCACCUGGCUAACUUUUUCGUUUUUAUUUUUUGUAGAGACAAGUUCUCCCUAUGUUGCCUAGGGACAGCAUCACUUUUGCUCUGCUGCUCAGGCUGGAGGGCAGCAGCAUGACCUUGGCUCACUGCAGCCUCCACCUCCUGGGCUCAAGCAAUUCUCCCACUUCGGCCUCCUGAAUAGCUGGAGUCUCAAUAUGUUGCCCAGGCUGGUCUCGCACUCCUACCUCAACUGAUCUUCCCACCUCAGCCUUCCAAAGUGUUGGGAUUACAGGCACAAGCCACCGUGUCUGGCCAGGAUGCUUGUCUUAAAAACAAAGAUUUACUACCAGCAACCUGGCUGGCCCAAAAUGUGACUGGCAGCUUAUUUUAUAUUCCCCAUACACAUUAAAUGUAGAAAAUUAGUAACUAUUAGAUUUGAUUAAAUAUUAAAAUGUCAUAUUGUUCAGCCAAUGAACAAAUUGUUUUCAAGCUGCUCUGGGGGGAAUGACUAGCCUGCUACCUUUUUAUGGUGUUAGUUAUAUGGUAUUUUUCUCUUCCUCCCUUCAUAGUAAAAAUCCUUGAAGGCUUACUCUCCUUGAGAACACUUCCUCAUGGGUUUUUGAAUCUGCAGCUCUUUCCACUCCCAGGUACUGAAACCAUAUUUUUCACAGACCCCUUUACCUGCCCAAGGGUCAACUUGAUUCUUCUCCUUUGCCAUUUUGCACCGUUGACCAUGUUGAAAAUCCUUGCACUUGCUGUCUGCUGCACUCUUCUUGUAUUUUGUUUUCUUCUGAAUUCUGAUGAAUACUAUUCUGUUGUUUCAUGGUGCAUGCUCAGGGUUCUGUUCAUUAUCAUCUUCUCUUUGCCUGAUCCUUUAUCUUUAAGCAAACCCAUCCAUUCUUGCUACUCCAGUUAUCUCCUCUAUCCAACGAGCUGGGCCACCAUGAUUUUUCUCCUAAGCUUGUUAUCUUCACCUGGAUUUCCUCAAGCACAGUAUAUAAAGCCAAAAUUCUUCAAUUGUCUCUGUAAACCAGCUCUCCUAUCCCUUCCCCCUUUGUCUCAGCCAUUUGGUUUGUAUAUGGAAAUAAACCUCCUGGUGUUAAAACCUCAAAACUUCAGCAUUAUCUUUGUCUCUACACUCUUGUUUGACCUCUAGAUCCAGGAAAUACCCCAGUUUCAUUAUAAGGCCUGUCAAUUUUAUCUCACAAUGUUUUUCACACUUAUAAGCUAGAUAGACCAAAGCAAGGGUCUGUGUGCGCAUUCUCUGUGAUGCUCAUUCUUAUGUUCUCAAGAUAGUUGCUUGAACUCUAGCUGCAGCUUCUGCAUUUCAGGUAGAAAGGAAGAGGAUGAUCACAGAAUCAAAGGGCAUCUGCCAACUGAAUCUGCCACCCUUUAAGGGGAGCAUUCCUGAAAGCAACAUGUAAUAAUCUUUGCUGACAUUGAAUUGAGCAGGGUAGUGUCACAUGACCACUCUGAUCUACAAGGGAGGCAGAGAAAUGGAGUUCAAAAGAUCGGGACACAGUGCUGUUUCAAUAAAUGGGAGUUAUAUUGGAAAGGACGAAAGUGCAAAAUGUUUUGGGGUGGGCAAUUGACAGUCUCUACACACCUUUUUUCUUAACUUUCCUAUGUUUACUUGAAAUAAAUUUCCACUGACUUUGAAUAAAACACUCCUUGUUUUCCACCAUCAUCAUCUAACUUGACAUCUUCACUGUCCUUUUGCUUAGAUUUUUACAAAGCCAAGUGGACUCUGUGUGCCUCUACUUCACUGCUACCGAGAGGUGAAGUCAGCUGGGCUUCUGGGUGGGGUGGAGACUUGGAGAACUUUUCUAUCUAGCUAGAGGAUUAUAAACACACCAAUCAGCACUCUGUAGAAACGCACCAAUCAGCGCUCUGUGUCUAGCUAAAGGUUUGUAAACGCACCAAUCAGCACUCUGUAAAACGGAUCAAUCAGCACUCUGUAAAAUGGACCAAUCAGCAAUCUGUAAAAUGGACCAAUCAGCAGGACAUGGGCAGGGCCAAAAAAGGGAAUAAAAGCUGGCCACCUGCACCAGUAGCGGCAACUCCCUCAGGUGCCCUUCCACGCUGUUGAGUUUUGUUCUUUCGCUCUUUGCAAUAAAUCUUACUACUGUUCACUUUUUGGGUCCGCACUGCCUUUAUGAGCUGUAACACUCAAACUGCGAAGGUCUGUGGCUUCACUCCUGAAGUCAGCGAGACCAUGAACCCACCAGCAGGAAGAAAUAGGACAUAUCUGAAGAAACAAACUCCAGACACACCAUCUUUAAGAGCUGUAACACUCACUGCGAAAGUCCGCGACUUCAUUCUUGAAGUCAGUGAGACCAAGAACCCACAGGAAGGAAUAAAUUCCAGACACACUACUACUGUCCUUGUUCAUUAAUCUAUUGAUUUGGCAAGAAAAUAUUGAUAACAGGCACUGUCCUGUGUACUAGAGAUGGACAGAAUCAUGACUUUUGGCUUCAGGGCCUCACAGUUCAGUUGGAGAGAGCAACAUGGCACCAGUUGAUUCCAGGGCAACACAAUUAGUGACAUAACAGAGACAGGUGAAAGGGAUUGCAGAAGCGGAGAGAGCAUCCUGACUAAUUCAAUCUGCGAAUGGUGAAGAAGACCUUCCAGGGGUGAUGCUGUGAGCUGAAUUGUGUAUUAGUAGGAAUUUCUCGGUUCAACACACAGAGAAAUAACAAGUUUUCUGUUGUAAACUAUUCCUUACUAAUUAAAAACAUAGUGGUUAUAUUCUUGACCUCACUCUGAAUUUAAUUUUUAAGAAUGUAAUCAUAAGUGAAGCAACUUUAAAUAUAGCAUUAUAGGGCACAGUAUUGAUAAAUGAGAGGAAAACUUUUUCUUAAGGAGUGUACCACUCACUUACCAUGCCCUGAAAUUAACUGAGAACUCAUUUGUCAAGAGAGCACCUACCCUAUAUAGAAUUCUUCCAAUUAACAUCAAAAGCGAUCAUUCUUAACCUCUCAUGCAUUAAGAAAAUCUUGUCUGCACCCAAUGUUCUGUUCAUAAUCAAUGAAGCCCCUUACGUAUGUUAUUGCAAAUUUAUCACCCUGUAUGUUACUAAAAUGGAUGAAUUAAUAAAUGAAUCUGCUGUAGGUCCAGAAGCCAGAUUUAUCUGUUGUCUCCUGGUUCUCAUGGGAUUUUCCUUUGGUCUCCAAGACAUUUCACUCUGCACUUUCUCAUAGUUUGGGAUAUUUAUUGACAGCUACUGACAGUAUGAGUUGGUACUCAUAGACUCACCAUGGCUAUAUCAGAAAAGUGGUUUUGAGGGGGAUUAGUUAAAUUUAAAAAUGUCAGCCAAGUGACUCUCAGGCUAUGCUAAAAAGGCAGUGCAAGUGUUGUGCUAUAUCAGUUCUAAAAGUAUCAUAUUGCUAUAAAAAGCAUACAUCAAGAUAAUUAAAUGAUGCUUAACAUUGGUGAGGUCAUGGUAAGCUUGACACAUUCAUAAACAUUAGUUAAAGAGUAAAAUAGUGCAACAUUCCUGGAGGCCAAUCUCAUGAUAUGAAAUUAGAAUAGGUUAGGAUAUAUUCUUAGGAUCUGAGCCUUCUUUCCACCUGUAAGGAUCUAGGCAAGACUGGGUGUAGAAGGAUGGCCAUUGAAGUAUUACAUAAACUGCAGAAUACCCAUGAGCUAGAAAACUAUGUACUAAUCAAAAUUGGUGCUUUCUGAUAAUUUUGAUUACAUGGAAAAGUGCCCACUAUGUUCAACGAAUAAGAAGAAAAACAGUUGUAUCAAAGUCUGAUCCAUAUGUAGGGAUACAUCUAUCACAUAUGCAUACACAUCUUUCAAAUGAUUUGCAUCAGGAUGCUAACAAUAGUCUAAGUUUAGGUGAUUUGUAUUAUCAUCUUUAAAGUUCUCUAAAUUUUAUAAAUUUCUAAUCCAUGCAUGAGUUUCACAAUUAGAAAUAAAUUGCUGGGUUUUUUUUGUUUUUUUUUUUUUGUUUUUUGGAAUGCAGUGGUGCGAUUACAGCUCACUGCAGCCUUUACCUCCUGGGCCCGAGUGAUACUCCCACCUCAGUCCCAUGAGUAGCUGGGACCACAGGUGAUAUGGUUUGGCCGUGUCCCCACUCAAAAUCUCAUCUUGAAUUGUGGCUCACAUAAUUCACAUUUAUUGUGGGAGGGACCUAGUAGGAGGUAGUUGAAUCAUAGGGGUGGGUAUUUCGCAUGAUGUUCUCAUGAUAGUGAAUAAGUCUCAUGAGAUCUGAUGGUUUUAUAAAGGGGAGUUCCUGUGCACAUGCUCUCUCUUGUCUGCUGCCAUGUAAGAUGUGACUUUGCUCCUCUUUUGCCUUCUGCCAUGAUUAUGAGGCCUCCCCAACCAUGUGGAACUGUGAGCCAAUUAAACCACUUUUUUUUAUAAAUUGCCUAGCCUUGGGUAUAUCUUUAUUAGCAGCGUGAGAACGAAUACAACAAGUACGUGCCACCACACCUUGCUGUUUUUUUUAUUUUUGUAGAGAUGGAGUUUUGCCAUGUUCAAGCCCAGGCUGGUCUCGAACUCCUGGGCUCAAGUGAUCCUCCCACCUUAGACUCUAAAAGUUCUGGGAUCACAGGUGUGAGACACUUUGCCUGGCCAGAAAUUAAUCACUCUUAAAAGGAAAACUAAAAAGGACCAUGUAGUAGAAGAUGAAGAGAUUAUUUAUAGGUAUUUUUUAUAUGUAUACAGUCUACAUGGCUAAUUCUCAGACUCACAUACCGUGUGAGGUCAAUUUCACUAAGGGGCUCAGCACACACUCUGGCCGGGGAGGGUGCUCCAGGCUUUGAGCCUAACUGCCUGCCAUCACUCUCUCCCCUCCCAUGCCAUUCUCCAGGCUGCCAUCAGAUUUCUCUUUCCAAAGCAUAGCUAUUGUCCUGUUAUUCUCUCUCUGGAAACAUUGUUAAAACCCGUUAUCCUCUCUGGAAACAUUGUUAAAACCUUCCCAAUUGUGCACAGAAUACAUUCUCCCCCUCCGCUUGGCUCCAGUUCAUGUCCUCAGUCUGAUAUCCCUCACAUCUCUCAAUCCUCCGGCACUCCAGCACAAUAGAGCUACCUUCAUGACACUCUUCACCUCCCCCUGCCCACCACUUUACCCUCAUUUUUGCUUGUCCUACCUGUUCUUUCAAGCCCUGCUCAAAUUCCCAGAGUGACCACUCUGAAUUAAUCUUUCCCUCCAUUAUUUCCUCUUUGCACUUUAUCGAUCUCUUUUAUUGCAUUAAUCAGAAUUUUACUUGUAUUAUGGUUCCUUGUGUCUUUCUGUUCUUAUAUUGAUUUUUAGCUACCCAAAUCAUAUCUUCAUUCAUAAUCUUUAUGGAGUGGUUCUCAAACAUUAGCACAUAUCACAAUCAUCUGAGGGUUCAUUAAAACAGAUUGCUGGACUCCAUCCCUGGUGUUUCUAAUUCAAUACAUCUGGGGUGGGGCACGAGAACUGGCAUUUCUAAUAAAUCCCCACGUGAUGCUGCUGCCGCCCCAGUAUGGCAACCACACUUCGAGCACCACUGCUUUUCAAAAAUGGGAAACAAUGAACUAACGUAAAUGAACGUGAUAUAGUACAUAGGGAAUGGAAGUUCACAGGGCAGGAUUUAGAAUCAGAGGCUUGGGUUUGAAUUCCAGUUCUGCCACUUAAUGCUUCAACAAGUUAUUUAAUCCCUCUGAAUCUUCAUUUUCUUGCCACAAAAAUUGGGAUAUUAUUACAGUAAGUCCUCAAUGUCACCCAUAGGUUCUUGGAAACUGUGAAUUUAAGCAAAAUGAUGCAUAAAAAGAACAAUCUUACCAUGGGCUAAUUCACAUACUCAAGAGUUAAGGGCCUAGGAAGUACUUUUGGUCACAAAAACAUCAAACUUCUAAAUAAAAACUAAAACACGGCCAGGCGUGGGGGCUCACACCUGUAAUUCCAGCACUUUGGGAGGCCGCGCUGAGCCGAUUGCCCAAGCUCAGUAGUUCAAGACUAGCCUAGGCAACACAGUGAAACCCUGUCUCUACUAAAAUACAAAAAAAAAAAAAAAAAUU
This is an RNA transcript of Gorilla gorilla gorilla (western lowland gorilla), 7678 nucleotides long. RefSeq lists it as uncharacterized. The record is from RefSeq and is a predicted model, not a curated record. The transcript is spliced from 14 exons. Lineage: Eukaryota; Metazoa; Chordata; Mammalia; Primates; Hominidae.